RNAcentral lists this ribosomal RNA (357 nucleotides) under Triticum aestivum (bread wheat). RNAcentral describes it as "partial small subunit ribosomal RNA". The record is from RNAcentral. Lineage: Eukaryota; Viridiplantae; Streptophyta; Magnoliopsida; Poales; Poaceae.
AUGUGUAUACCAAAAAAGCCAGAAGGCAUGGGGUUUAGGGAUAUCCAGUGUUUCAACCUCGAACUGUUAGCUAAACAGGCAUGGCGGCUGAUUGACAAUCUGGAAUCUUUAUGUGCAGUAAUUUUAAAGGCAAAGUAUUUUUUAGAGGGAGGCCUUAUGGAUGCUACAUUGAAAAGAAAAACACCAUUCACAUGGUAGAGUAUCAUGGCAGGAGCAGAGACAUCGAGGACAGGGUAUAUUUGGAGAAUUGGGGACAGUCAGAGCGUUAUCAUUUGGAAUGAUCCCUGGAUACCUCAGUCAACUUUCAAAAAGGUUCUAACUGUCUGUGGGAAUAAUCUUUCUUUCACGUGUAUCUGA